RNAcentral lists this ribosomal RNA (2036 nucleotides) under human gut metagenome. RNAcentral's name for it is "bacterial LSU rRNA". It matches the Rfam family "Bacterial large subunit ribosomal RNA", at positions 100 to 2002 of the family's 2925-position model. The record is from RNAcentral.
UGAUCCGAGGAUUUCCGAAUGGGGGAACCCGCCGGCCGUCAUGGGCCGGCACCGCGUUCGCGCGGGGGGUACGCAGGGAAGUGAAACAUCUCAGUACCUGCAGGAAAGGAUGUUCCGUGAGUAGUGGCGAGCGAAAGCGGAUCAGGCCAAACCGCGCGCGUGUGACAGGCGCCAGCCGUUGCGCGCGUGGUGUUGAGGGAGCGUGUGUCCGGGUCCUGGCGGGCCCGGCCGGAGUGAUAAAACGGCGUGUGAGGCGAACCGGAUUGAAUGCCGGGCCGCAGAGGGUGAUGGCCCCGUAGCCGAACGCGCGUCGUCUCCGGAUCGUGUCUCCCAAGUAGCGCGGGACUCGUGGAAUCCCGUGUGAAUCCGCCCCGACCGUGGGGUAAGCCUAGAUAUACCUGUCUGACCGAUAGCGAACUAGUACCGUGAGGGAAAGGUGAAAAGCACCCCGGGAGGGGAGUGAAACAGUCUCUGAAACCGUGCGCCUACAAUCCGUCGGAGCCCUUUUGUGGGGUGACGGCGUGCCUAUCGAAAAAUGAGUCUGCGAGUCAGUGGCAUGUGGCGAGCAUAACCCGUGUGGGGUAUGCGUAGCGAAGGCGAGUCUUAAAAGGCGUUUGAGUCGCGUGUCCUGGACCCGAAGCGGGAUGAUCUAGCCCUGAGCAGGUUGAAGCGCGGGUAAGACCGCGUGGAGGACCGAACCCACCUGGGUUGAAAACCGGGGGGAUGACUUGGGGUUAGGGGUGAAAGGCCAAUCAAAUUCCGUGAUAGCUGGUUCUCUCCGAAAUGCAUUUGGGUGCAGCGUCGGGUCAUUACGUCCCGGGGGUAGAGCUACUGGAUGCUUGCGGGCCCGUAUCGGGUACCAACAGCAACCAAACUCCGAAUACCGGUGACGCGUAUCCCGGCAGUGAGUCGGCGGGGGAUAAGCUUCGUCGUCGAAAGGGAAACAGCCCAGACCGUCGUCUAAGGUCCCGAAGCGUGUGCUAAGUGGGAAAGGAUGUGGAGUCGCAUAGACAGCCAGGAGGUUGGCUCAGAAGCAGCCACCCUUGAAAGAGUGCGUAACAGCUCACUGGUCUAGUGGUUCCGCGCCGACAAUGUAGCGGGGCUCAAGCACACCACCGAAGACGCGGCAGUAUUUUGUACUGGGUAGGAGAGCGUCCCAUGAGGGGCGAAGCGGCCGUGUGAACGCGCCGUGGACUUCAUGGGAGUGAGAAUGCAGACAUGAGUAGCGAGAGACGGGUGAAGAUCCCGUCCGCUGGAUGACCAAGGGUUCCAGGGCCACGUUCAUCGUCCCUGGGUGAGUCGGGUCCUAAGGCGAGGCCGACAGGCGUAGUCGAAUGGAUGAACGGGUCGAUAUUCCCGUACCGGCUUUCAGCCGCCAAAACCGAGGCUUGGAGUACUAACCUCCGGGUCCGGGCUUACUGCUCCUUCGGGGGCGGGAUGCCCUGGCCUGUUGGGACCGAUCCUUGUAGUAGGUCAGCGCAGGAGUGACGCAGAAGGGUAGCCGGCCGCGGAGGUGGUCUUCCGUGGUCAAGCACGCAGGGCGUGGGACAGGCAAAUCCGUCCCGCAUGGGUCCGAGGUGCGAUGAUGGGGGCCUUAUGGCCCGAUAUCCGGUGAUCCCGGCUGCCGAGAAAAGCUUCGGCGUCAGGCUCAAAGCCGCCCGUACCCCAAACCGACACUGGUGGUCAGGUAGAGAAUACCAAAGCGAUCGAGCGAAUCCUGGUCAAGGAACUCGGCAAAUCACUCCCGUUCCUUCGGUUUAAGGGAGACCCCCGAUGGUGAACACACUUGCUGUGGGAGCUUUUGGGGGUGGCACAGACCAGGGGGUAGCGACUGUUUACCAAAAACACAGGUGCAUGCGAAGGCGCAAGCCGCUGUAUAUGCACUGACGCCUGCCCGGUGCCGGAAGGUUAAGAGGAUCCGUCAGCCUUCGGGUGAAGCGGUGAAUUCAAGCCCCGGUAAACGGCGGUGGUAACUAUAACCAUCCUAAGGUAGCGAAAUUCCUUGUCGGGUAAGUUCCGACCUGCACGAAUGGCGU